GUCUACGGCCAUGCCGCCCUGAACACGCCUGAUCCCCUCUGAUCUCAGAAGCUAAGCAGGGUCUGGCCUGGUUAGUACUUGGAUGGGAGACCACCUAGGAAGAUCGGGAGCUGUAGGCG
RNAcentral lists this ribosomal RNA (119 nucleotides) under Pteropus alecto (black flying fox). The record is from RNAcentral. Lineage: Eukaryota; Metazoa; Chordata; Mammalia; Chiroptera; Pteropodidae.